RNAcentral lists this ribosomal RNA (412 nucleotides) under Rhagada dampierana. RNAcentral's name for it is "partial 16S ribosomal RNA". It matches the Rfam family "Bacterial large subunit ribosomal RNA", at positions 1808 to 2593 of the family's 2925-position model. The record is from RNAcentral. Lineage: Eukaryota; Metazoa; Mollusca; Gastropoda; Stylommatophora; Camaenidae.
CAAAAACAUAGCUAAAUGUCAUUAUAUUUGGUGUUUUCUGCUCAAUGAUAUAAUUAAAUAGCCGCAGUACCUUGACUGUGCAAAGGUAGCAUAAUCAAUUGGCUUAUAAUUGAAGUCUGGAAUGAAAGGAUAUACGGGUAAUUACUGUAUCUGAUAUUUAUACUGAAAUUGAUCUCCAAGUGCAAAUACUUGCAAUUAAUUGUUAGACGAGAAGACCCUAGAAAUUUGUGUAAAUGUUUAGUUGGGGCAACGUGGUAAGAAAUAACUUACAAUAAGGACAUGAAAAAAUGAUUUGGAAGAAAAAAUUACUCUAGGGAUAACAGCAUAAUUUAUUAAAGUUUGUGACCUCGAUGUUGGAUUUGGGAAUUAUAGUCCAGAAGACUUUUAAUUUUGCUCUGUUCGAGCGUAGCAC